RNAcentral lists this ribosomal RNA (1089 nucleotides) under Triticum aestivum (bread wheat). RNAcentral's name for it is "partial small subunit ribosomal RNA". Lineage: Eukaryota; Viridiplantae; Streptophyta; Magnoliopsida; Poales; Poaceae. The record is from RNAcentral.
AUGCUGCUAGCCGCGACGGCCUGCUGCUUCCUCGCCGACGAGGCCAAGAAGAGCCAGGACGGCGGCGGCGGGGGCGGGGGAGGGGGAGGGGGAGGAGGAGGGCUGGGGAUUAGCCCGGUGGUCCUGGUCGUGGUGCUGGUGCUGGCGGCGCUCGUGUUCGUCUCCGGCCUGCUGCACCUGCUGGUCCGGUUCCUGCGGUGGCGCGCCCGCGCGCGCACCGGGGCGACGGAGGAUGGGGGCAGCGAGGUGGACGGAGGAGGCGGAGGCCGGGGGGCUGGGGAGGAGUCGGCGCUGCAGCGGCAGCUGCAGCAGCUGUUCCACCUGCACGACUCCGGGCUGGACCAGGCCGUCAUCGACGCGCUGCCGGUGUUCCUCUACGGGGAGGUGGUGGUCGGCGCGGGCGCCAAGGAGCCGUUCGACUGCGCGGUGUGCCUGUGCGAGUUCGCCGGCGACGACCGGCUGCGGCUGCUGCCGCUGUGCGGCCACGCGUUCCACAUCGACUGCAUCGACACCUGGCUGCUCUCCAACUCCACCUGCCCGCUCUGCCGCCGCGUGCUCGCGGCCGACGACGGCGGCGGCGACGCGGCCCUCCUGCUCGACGAGGGGUGGGGGCGGGAGGGGGAGGGCGCGGUGUUCCCCGUCCGCCUCGGCAAGUUCAAGAGCACGGCCAGGGCGGCCGGCCACGUCCAGCACGACGGCGGCGGCAUUGUGGCGGCGGAGGAGGGCGACGCGGGCAGCAGCAGCAGCAGCCUGGACGCCAGGCGGUGCUACUCCAUGGGCUCCUACCAGUACGUGCUCGCCGAGGCCAGCCUGCAGGUGUCCGUCCACCGGCGGCACGGCGACGGCGGCGCCGCGGAGAGGAUGAGGGGCCCGAGAGGGGUCGUCGCGAACCCGGCCGGCCUUGGCGGCGGGGGCGGCGGCGAGGGGAAGAGGAUCGGGGCCGGCAGCAAGGGCGACAGCUUCUCGGUGUCCAAGAUCUGGCAGUGGCCGCGCAACGGCAAGGGGAAGCUCCCCGUGCUCGCGUCCGACGGCUCGCCGGCGGUGGACGGCGCGCUGCAGUGGCCGAGGAGGAGCGUCGGGGAGUCGUGA